This 7641-nucleotide long non-coding RNA is filed under the name Phaseolus vulgaris (common bean). Its description in RNAcentral is "long non-coding RNA (PVUL_LNC000923)". The record is from RNAcentral. Lineage: Eukaryota; Viridiplantae; Streptophyta; Magnoliopsida; Fabales; Fabaceae.
AACUAAAGAAUAUGAUGAGAUGGUGAAGGAUCCCCAAAAGGCUUAUUUGCAAACAAUCACACCUAAGUAUGAGACCAUUAUUGACAUUGCAGUGAUAGAGAUAUUGUCAAGGCAUGCUUCUGAUGAGAUCUACCUUUGGGAGAGGGAUAAUCCAAAUUGGACAACCGAUUCAAAGGCAAUACAAGCUUUAAAAAAGUUUGGAAGCAAACUGACAGAAAUUGAAGGAAGGAUCACUGCAAGGAACAGUGAUCCAAGUUUGAAAAGCCGACAUUCGCCAGUUGACUUGCCAUACACCUUACUCCUUCGUUCCAGUGAGGAAGGGUUGACUUUCAGAGGAAUUCCCAACAGUAUCUCUAUCUAAAACGAAUGUGUGAUUUCCUUGUCCAUUAUCCUUUUGAAUAAGAGACAAUACAAGUCUCUGUGAAAUUAUCGUCUUUAUGUAUGUAGUGUGCUGCUCUUGUUCACUUUGAGUAUGUUGUAACUUAUCAAUUUUACUUAUGUGUUCUGCCAUUCCUUUUAUAUAUAGGAAGUGGCAUGUGUGUAAAAGAGUGUGACUUUCAUACUCUUCUCAGUUAAUGAAGGUUUCUUAUUCUGGUUCUUGUAGGUGUUUUCCUUCUGGUUCUUUCCUAUUCUUUUUUGGUUCUUUCCAUUUGUUACUUCUUCCCGCAUGGAAUCCUCUGCAACCAAAUCUUACAACAUGGAUCUUGUUAUUACUCCAUCAAGCCCUUACUAUAUGCAUUCUGUAGAAAAUUCAGAAAUGAUUCUUGUUUCACCUUAACUCAGUGAAAUCAACUACCACUCACGGAGUAGAAACAUGUAUCGCACGAGAUUGAUCAAAUAACUAAUCACAUGAAUAAGAUUGAUAGCGAUAGUAUUAUAUCAUCUGAGGCAAAUGAAAAGAUUGAAAAGUGUGUAUUAUUUAAAGAGGAAGAAAGAGAGCAUGAGUUUGAAGAAGAGGAGGAAGAAGAAAAAGUGAAAAAGCGAAAAAGAUUGAAAAUAAUAUAGACUUAGAUUUUAACACAAUUUUUAGAAACCAAUUCAAGAUGUACUUGUUAUUCUACUAUGUGUGAUAUGAGAGACUCUCUUCCACAAAAGGUAAUUACAGUGAUAAUGGAUGAAUUGUGUUAAGAUGCUAGACUGUCCUGUAUCCACUUGACGGUCUAUCACCCAUUAGAUAGUCUUGUGAUAUGAGAGUCUAUGAAUUUUGAUGAUAACAAACAUUAUAAGAUGUAUAAGUAUUCUAACAAAGCUCAUUAGUGUGCAGAACAGGGCAAACACAUGUCAAAUGGUCUAUAAAGGCAUAAUUGAUUAGACAAUCCUAUAGUAUUAAAAUUUUUAGACAGUCUCUCAGUGUUAAACCCAUUAGACAAAUCUAUGAGUGUUUCUAUGUUAAUAGAAGAAAAAUGAAGUGCAAAACACUGACCAACUAGACAAUCCAACUUUGAAUAGAUGAGUUAGACGGUCUCAUAGUGCAUAAACAUACCAUCAAUUUGAUGUUAUGAAAAAGGUAUUAUAAACUCUUCAAGAUAUAAUAAAACUUAGUAUUUGACAAAGUUACCUAAGAACAAGAUUUCCAUCGAUUGCAAAUGGGUUUAUAAAAUUAAAUAAAAAUUGAAUGGAUCCAUUAAAAGUUACAAGGUCUGCCUUGUUGCUAAAGGUUACACGCAAAUAGAAGGCAUAGAUUACUUGGACGCCUUUUCACCAGUGGCUAAAUUAACAUUAGUGAGAUUACUCUUGACUUUGGCUACCACACAACAUCCGCAUUUACAUGAGUGUGAUGUUGAUAAUGCUUUCUUAUAUGGUCUCAUAGAAGAAGCUUAUAUGGUUCCUCCUUCAGGUCUUAUUUUGCCUCAAUCAAAUCAAAAUUGUAAACUAACUAAGUCCUUAUAUGGCUUAAAGCAAGUCAAUCAACAAUGGUUUGUAAAACUUUCAUUCUUUCUUAUUUCAAUUGGCUUCAUUUAAUCUAAAUCUAAUCACUCCCUCUUUAUUAAGAAAAUAUAUAUUGUUGUCAACAUUUUGCCUAUCGUGCCUUGACUAUUACACUUGUGAAUUGCAAUUGGUAACCUACCUCAAGGACCUUUGGAAUCACUCCCUUCUCCAUGGAAUCUACUAUAACCACGACUUCUCAUUUAUAUUUUCAUCUUCAAAGUUUCAAAUAGUUCUUUGUACUAAAAUAAAAAAUAAAAUAAAAAAACUUUCUUCACCACUUUGUAGAAGGCCAAUUCUUUCAAUUAUGUAAUUGUUGGUUGGGAUUUCUCAAGUACUAUCACAACAUAUAAUUACCAAGUGUAAAGUAGAUUGUUCUUAAAUAACUAUCUUCUUGCUAUUACACACUUAAAAUAAUAAAUAUGCUAAGAUGUGCAAUAAUUAACAACAAACACCAUACAAUUUUCUCGAGAUUAAUUUUUUUCUAAUAUGAAAUUCUCAUCCAAAGGGUAUAAAAAACUUCAGCAUUUCACAUACACAACAUGGAUUUCCAAUCCCAAAAGAAUCAAUAUAAUUGUAAUAAAAAUAUUUUUUUAUACUAGUGGGCAAGUUAAGAAAGUAUAAUUAAUGAUUACACGAUUUUCUUUCUUGUAAUAUACAAUUAUUUUUCUACUUUCUUGAUUGUUGUAGAUCAUUUGCAUGUGCAAUUAAAAAGAAAAAGACAACUAGGAACGUCCAAACUCAAAUAAUAAAGUGAAUAUAAUAGAGAAAUUAAUUGAAUGACAUGAAAGAAUAUUAAAUUAAAGAGAAGGAAGAUAAAAAUAAUAGAACCAAAUGUGGAUAACGUGUUUCACAUAUGCUUCUCCCUUCUCACUUCCUCUCUAUAAAUAGCUUUUCUUGGCCUCCUCACAACACACACAACUAAGCUUCAAUCUUCUCUUCUUCUUCUUCUUCCUUUGCAGAAACAGUAACAAUAUACAGUGUUUGAUAUAGCAGGAAAUUAAGAUGUUAGGUGGGAUCUUUGACAAGGGCCAGAAGAUAAAGGGCACUGUGGUGUUGAUGCCCAAGAAUGUGUUGGACUUCAACGCCAUAACUUCCAUUGGUAAGAGCGGUGUUACCGGCACUGUCAAAGAUGCCUUUGGCGUUGUCACCAACAUAGCUGGUGGAGCACUUGAUGCUGCAACUUCCUUCUUAGGCAGAAAUGUUUCACUGCACUUGAUCAGUGCUACUCAGGCUGAUGGUUUGUUCUCAUCUUACCAACCACUCUAUUUUCUAUCAUAUCUUAUUUCACAAAUUAUACUUCAUUUAACAUAUGAACACAUCUCAUCCACCUCUAGCUACUCUUAAAAUAUUAUAUUAUCCUUAGUCGUUUGACUCAACCUCAAUAAUGCAAGGACUUACUUGUCUAACUUUUGUUUACAUUGAAAAUGAAAUUCAAUUAAUAUUUACUCUAAACGUGUACCAUUAUUAUACUUUUUAUCAUGUUUCUUGGAUAAGUUAAAAACUCUUUUAGUAAACUUGAACGGAGAAGUUAACUUUACGAGGAUAGAAAAAAAUAGAGGGACAAAAUUCAUCGUAAGAAUCAAUUCACUAUUUUAUGUUCUGACAUACGUAAGUGGAACAUAUCAUAGGGUUAUUUUAAACGAUUGCACCAUUUGCAGCUAAGUGGCUAACUUAGUUUUUUUAUUGCAGCGACAGCUAUAUAUCAGUAAACUAUUUGUGUGAAAAGAUUCAUGCUAAGAUCACCCUUUUUUUUUAAUAUUAUUGUUCAAUUGCAAUAUAAAAUACUCAUUUUUUUCAUUAUUGUAAUUUUAUUUGUAUUUGUUUGCAGCUAGUGGAAAAGGAAAAGUUGGAAAGAUAACAUAUUUGGAGAAACGUCUUCCUACGUUACCAACACUGGGAGCAAGACAAGAUGCAUUCAGUAUUUUCUUUGAAUGGGAUGCUAAUUUUGGAAUUCCUGGAGCAUUUUACAUCAGAAACUAUACAACUGAUGAAUUUUUCCUCGUUAGUGUUGUUCUUGAGGACAUUCCAAACCAUGGAACCAUUCACUUCGUCUGUAACUCAUGGGUUUAUAACUUCAAACAAUACGAAAAGGAUCGCAUUUUCUUUGUGAAUGAUGUAAGCUUGUGUUUUUCUGAUGUUGGAGUUUUGUUUUUAACUAUAAAUGGUCUUGAUCAUUUAUUGUUUUCAUGAACAUAUUGCAGACAUAUCUUCCAAGUGCAACACCAGCUCCAUUACUCAAGUACAGACAAGAAGAAUUGGAGACUCUUAGAGGAGAUGGAACUGGUAAACGCAAGGACAAUGAUAGAAUCUAUGACUAUGAUGUUUAUAACGAUUUGGGCAAUCCAGAUGGUGGAGAUCCUCGUCCAAUCCUUGGAGGAUCUAUCAUCCACCCUUACCCUCGUAGGGUUAGAACUGGUAGAGAACGAACCAGGACAGGUUAGACUUUUUUUGUUUGAUUUGUGAUAUUUAUCAUUGUUCAGUUAACUUUAUAUAUGAGCAUAGUUCUAAUGGUAUAACUAUGAUGAAGUUGUUUAACUCAUCUAAUCUAAGAAUUUUAACAAGUUUUCUAUCUAACUACACUAUACUAAAAGAACUUAAAAUGAUCCUACACUUUGCUUAAAUAUGCUUAUAGAUUUGGUAAUGUUUUGCAAAGUAACAAAUUAUAUAGAGGUCAACGUGAAAAAAAAAAGGCCAUAUAGAUUUUGUAAGUGCGAAAAGUUGUACAAUUUGAAAAUAUAUGAUUGGAAAAUAAGGAUUUUAAUGUUCUGUUGGUUGCUUCAUUACAGAUCCCAACAGUGAGAAACCAGGCGAGAUUUAUGUUCCAAGAGAUGAAAAUUUUGGUCACUUGAAGUCAUCAGAUUUCCUUAUGUAUGGAAUAAAAUCUUUAUCUCAGACUGUGCUACCUCUGUUAAAAUCUGCAAUUUUUGACUUAAAGGUCACAUCAAGUGAGUUUAAGAGCUUCGACGAUGUGCGUAGUUUGUAUGAGGGUGGAAUUAAGCUGCCAACAGAUAUAUUGAGACAAAUUAGCCCCUUACCAGCCCUCAAGGAAAUCUUCCGUACUGAUGGUGAAAAUACUCUUCAAUUUCCACCACCUCAUGUAAUUCAAGGUACUUAAUAAAAAAAAGCUUCAAUAUAUUAACACUUGUGGAAUUAAAUAAUAUUUGGCUUGAUUUCAUAAUGAUUUUCUUUUUUAUUUGUGCAGUUAAAAAAUCUGAAUGGAUGACUGAUGAAGAAUUUGCAAGAGAAGUGAUUGCUGGUGUCAAUCCAAAUGUAGUUCGUCGUCUUCAGGUUAAUACUAAGUCUCUAAAAUGGUCAACUUUGAUGUAAAUGUUAAUGCAUCUUGUCACAUUUUGCUGCAUAAUGUGAAUGCAGUCUGCUAAAUAUUUAUGGAUGCAUUUUGCUGCAUAAUUGUGAAUGCACCUGCUGCAUAAUUUGCUAUAAAAAAUCAGUGCUAGUAUGGGUGUGUCAUAGAAUCAUAGGCUCUUAGUUGCUUUAUUUUGCUGCUUUUCGACUAUUCGACUAUUGUAUAAGGGUUGAGAUGAAGUAUCCUUUUUAUUCAUUUAUUAUUCCUGAUAAAAAAAAUCUUGUCUUUGUUAUUUUUGUCAUCUUUCCUCAUAUAGCAUCUUUUAAUAAUGGCAGGAAUUCCCACCAAAAAGUUCGCUUGAUCCCUCUCUCUAUGGUGAUCAAACUAGUACCAUAACAAAAGAACAGUUGGAGAUUAACAUGGAUGGGGUCACAGUAGAUGAGGUAAUGAUAUACAGUUUUCACUAAAAAAUCAUCAGCUUUUGUUAUAUUCUUCUUUUUAAUAAUUCUGUGUAGUAUAGAGGCACUUGAAGUCAUAUUAGGUUUGUAAUUUGAAGUUACGAAACAAACUGACCACUGAAAUUAAACUUUGGAACACAGGCACUUGCUGCAAAGAGAUUAUUCAUAUUAGAUUACCAAGAUGCAUUCUUUCCAUAUUUGACGAGGAUAAACAGUCUACCUGUUGCAAGAGCUUAUGCCACCAGAACAAUCUUAUUCCUGAAAGAUGAUGGCACUUUGAAGCCACUUGCUAUCGAAUUAAGCAAGCCACAUCCAGGUGGAGAUAAUUUGGGUCCUGUGAGCAAAGUUGUGUUGCCUGCACUUGAUGGUGUUGAUAGCACAAUUUGGCUAUUGGCCAAGGCUCAUGUAAUUGUAAAUGACUCUGGUUAUCAUCAGCUCAUGAGUCAUUGGUAAGAAAUUCUUCUGCAAUAUUUAGCCCAUAUAUAUAUAUAUAUAAUGUUUGCAUAUAUGAAUUUAUUAUUGAUGUUUUUUCUUUUGAUGUUGCAGGUUAAAUACUCAUGCAGUGAUGGAGCCAUUUGCCAUAGCAACAAACAGACAUCUCAGUGUGCUUCACCCCAUUUACAAACUUCUCUAUCCUCACUACCGUGAUACCAUAAAUAUCAAUGGACUUGCUAGGCAAUCUUUGAUUAAUGCAGGUGGCAUUAUAGAGCAAUCAUUUUUGCCCGGAAAGUACUCUAUUGAGAUGUCUUCAGCCGUUUACAAGAACUGGGUUUUUACUGAUCAAGCACUGCCAGCAGAUCUAGUCAAGAGGUAUUUAUAGUAAAAGCUAACCAUUCUUUUAAAUUAUUACUUUUAUUUAUACAUAAAAAGUUUAAAAUAGGUACCAUAAAAAUCAACCAAUUGAUCAUAUAUUAUUAUGUUGUCAUUUAAUCUUAUAGAAGAUAUGGAGGUUGAAAUGUGUUCUUUUAAUAGAAACAUUAAAUUUUCUAGUUUGCAAACUAAACAACAAAUUUUUCUAUUCUCUGACACACCCUUAUACAAGUGUCAAAAAAUCCACACCACCUAACUACAAUCCAAUACAUAUACAUAGCAACAACCACCUAACUACAAUCCAAAUCAUAGCAACAUUUAUAUGGCUAAGCUUUUUGGCACAUCCUCUAGUGCUUUAUAUAGUUAUGCAGCAAAAUUCUGCAUAAUUUACAGCAGUAACAAAUUUUCUCUUUGAUGAUGGAAGAAAAGGAGAGAUGCUUAUUGAAUUUGUAUUAACAUUUUAUUAUCACUUGAUUCAGAGGAGUGGCAGUUGAGGAUCCAUCUUCCCCCCAUGGACUUCGUCUCUUGAUAGAGGACUACCCUUAUGCUGUUGAUGGACUAGAAAUUUGGGAUGCUAUUAAGUCAUGGGUCCAAGAGUAUGUCUCAUUGUAUUACCCAACCGAUGUGGCAGUUCAACGAGAUACUGAACUCCAAGCAUGGUGGAAGGAAGUUGUAGAGAAGGGUCAUGCUGACUUAAAAGAUAAGCCUUGGUGGCCUAAAAUGCAGAGUAUUGAAGCUCUCGUUAAAUCUUGCUCUAUUAUUGUAUGGACAGCUUCUGCUCUUCAUGCAGCUGUUAAUUUUGGACAAUAUCCUUAUGGAGGUUACAUAGUGAACCGUCCAACUCUCAGCAGAAGGUUUAUCCCUGAACCAGGAACUCCAGAAUAUGAUGAGAUGGUGAGCAGUUAUCAAAAGGCUUAUUUGAAAACAAUCACACCCAAGUUUGAGACCCUUAUUGACCUUUCAGUGAUAGAGAUAUUGUCAAGGCAUGCUUCUGAUGAAGUGUACCUUGGACAGAGGGAUACUCCAAACUGGACCACUGAUAAUAAGGCCUUGGAAGCUUUCAAAAGGUUUGGAAGCAAACUUGGUGAGAUUGAAGGGAAAAUCAAUGCAAGGAACAGUGAUCUGAGUCUGAGAAACAGA